GCGAAAGCGAGUCUGAAUAGGGCGUUAAGUCGCUGGGAAAAGACGCGAAGCGGGAUGAUCUAUCCUUGGCCAGGAUGAAGGGUGGGUAACACCACCUGGAGGUCCGAACCAGUGUUGGUUGAAAACAGCUUGGAUGAGCUGAGGAUAGGGGUGAAAGGCUAAUCAAAUUCCGUGAUAGCUCGUUCUCUCCGAAAUAGGUUUAGGCCUAGCCUCGUGUAUGCGCCCCGGUGGUAGAGAACUGGUUGAACUAGGGGGCUUCCCAGCCUACCGAAUUCAGUCAAACUUCGAAUGCCGGGAGCGACGAGCACGGGAGUCAGACAGUCAGGGCUAAGCUUGAUUGUCAAAAGGGGAAGAGCCCAGACCAUCAACUAAGGUCCCCAAGUACAUGCUAAGUGGGAAAGGAAGUCGGGAAUCUCUAACAGCGAGGAGGUUGGCUUAGAAGCAGCCAUCCUUUAAAGAAAGCGUAACAGCUCAUCGGUAUAAUUUUUUUGUGUUGAAAAUGUAAAGGGACUAAAAUUAUUUGCCGAAGCAGUAAAUUUAAAUUUUUUAAUAAUUUAAAUGGUAGCAGAACGUUCUGUAAAUUUAUGAAGAAUUAUGGAAACAUAUUUUGGAAAAAUCAGAAGUGAUAAUGUUGGUAUGAGUAACGAAAAACAAUGUGAAAAACAUUGUCGCCUUAAAUUCAAGGUUUUCAAGGGAAGGCUAAUCCUCCUUGAUAGUAAAUCGGUCUCUAAGAAACAAACGAAAGUUUUUAUCGAUGAGUAAAAGAUUAAAAUUUCUUUUUAUAAAUAAAGUGACAAAAUAUGAAUAUUAUUUUUAUUUUAUGGUAUAAAUAAAAGUUUUAUAGUAUUUUCAAGAAAUAGCUUUAUUAAAAUUAUUUUUAUUUUUAAAACCGUACCGUAAACCGACACAGGUAGGUGGGGUGAGUAUCCUAAGGCGCUCGAGAAAACCACCGUUAAGGAACUCGGCAAAAUGACCCCGUAACUUCGGGAGAAGGGGUGCCUCCAUCUUUAAAACAUGGGGGCCGCAGUGAAUAGCGAGGGGCAACUGUUUAACAAAAACACAGGUCUCUGCAAAGUCGAAAACGACGUAUAGGGGCUGACGCCUGCCCAGUGCCGGAAGGUUAAGAGGAGCGGUUAGCGCAAGCGAAGCUGUGAAUCGAAGCCCCGGUGAACGGCGGCCGUAACUAUAACGGU
RNAcentral lists this ribosomal RNA (1193 nucleotides) under Astrosyne radiata. RNAcentral describes it as "partial Bacterial large subunit ribosomal RNA". It matches the Rfam family "Bacterial large subunit ribosomal RNA", at positions 671 to 1949 of the family's 2925-position model. Lineage: Eukaryota; Bacillariophyta; Fragilariophyceae; Cyclophorales; Cyclophoraceae. The record is from RNAcentral.